RNAcentral lists this ribosomal RNA (265 nucleotides) under uncultured Desulfobulbus sp. RNAcentral's name for it is "partial 16S ribosomal RNA". It matches the Rfam family "Bacterial small subunit ribosomal RNA", at positions 1118 to 1382 of the family's 1533-position model. Lineage: Bacteria; Pseudomonadati; Thermodesulfobacteriota; Desulfobulbia; Desulfobulbales; Desulfobulbaceae. The record is from RNAcentral.
CCAGCAGUUCGGCUGGGCACUCUAAAGGGACUGCCGGUGUUAAACCGGAGGAAGGUGGGGGAUGACGUCAAGUCCUCAUGGCCUUUAUGACCAGGGCUACACACGUACUACAAUGGCCGAUACAAAGGGCAGCGACACUGCGAGGUGAAGCCAAUCCCGUAAAAUCGGUCUCAGUCCGGAUUGGAGUCUGCAACUCGACUCCAUGAGGUUGGAAUCGCUAGUAAUCGUGGAUCAGCAUGCCACGGUGAAUACGUUCCCGGGCCUU